ACUCAAAAACAACACAAAUAUUAUCCAAAUCAUAAUAAAAUAAAACACUCUUAUCUCUUUCUUUUUAAAACUUUUGUUGUGUGCUUCAAAUCAGAUGCAGAGAAGUGAAGGAAUCAAAUUAGGUCCAGUGCUCAACAUCCCAGUUCGCAUAUUCCCCACAGGACGUGGGAAAAUCCAAGUGGAUAUUGAAUUUCCAAUAUGCAACACCUGACUCAACACCACAAACAAUUUACAGACUAAUCUGGACCCCUGAUAUUUCUCUGUUAAAUUACAGUCAGUUUCUCAUCUGGUACUAACAUCAUAAAACCAGGUUGAAGGGAAAGUAAACAAAGCAAGGCAGUGUUUUAAAUAUAUAAAUCACUGCAACUUGGUUUUGGCAUGUGUUUUGUAUUUUACUUGAGCAAUAAAAGCUGCACAAGUUGGACUAGAGAGAGAUAAAAGCAAAAAUUUUGAGACGUAGCAUAAGAUGACAAGUAUUCAGAGAUUUAAGGAUUGAGUUGAAGGAGUUGUUUUUUCUUUUUUGUUGAAGAUGAAGAAGUGUGAGCUCUGUGAGUCUCCUGCUAAAAUAUACUGUGAAUCUGAUCAAGCUAGUUUGUGUUGGGAUUGCGACACCAAAGUUCACGGCGCCAAUUUUUUAGUUGCUAAGCAUUCAAGAACUCUUCUUUGUCAUCUCUGUCAAUCUCCAACUCCCUGGAAUGGCUGUGGACCAAAACUUAGUCCAACUAUAUCAGUUUGCAAUGUUUGUGUUGGUGACAGUGGCCAUAUGGAGAAGGGAAAUAAUGGAGAAAUAAGGGACAAUGAUGAAGAUGAUCUUGAUGGAAACGAUGAUGAUGAUGAUGAAGAUGUGGAUGAGGAUGGUGAUGAGGAUGAGGAUAAUGAUGAUAUGGGUGAUGAUGAUGAAGAAAAUCAAGUUGUUCCACGGUCAUCAACUCCACCACCCCCAGUUUCAAGCUCUUCAACAACUGGAGAAUGUUCAAGUAAUAAGUUCUCUAAUGGUGAUGAGGACUUAUUAGAUUCCAACUUAGCAUUCUCUGUGAAGCGGAUGCGUCAGACUACAAUGUUUCAUCGAUAAGAUCAUCAAGUCUACUUAUCCUCUCAACAAAAUAAGAACACAUAUCCGUGAGAUGAACCGGUAGAGCUUGUAUCACUUUCAGGCCAUGGAUGACAACAAGCAAGUGCAAAAACUGAUAAUAGUGAAGGUAGCUAAUUCCUUCAAGAUCGAAGCCACAAUGUUCAAGGAGUCUGCUGAUGACAUUUUAAUUGACUAAUUGCUGUAUAAGAAAAGAGAAGGGAAUACCAUUAAAAUUAAAGAUUUUCAAGGAAAAGUGGGACCUGAAUGUGGAUAUAAAUAUAAUUGGCUCUGUCACUCUCUGUCUCCAGUCUGUCUUGACCCUUGGAUCAAAAAUCAAUAAUAACAGCACAAGUUUUGAGAGAUACCGAAAACCAUGGAACUUUAGGAGGUUGGUUGGCGGUAUUCAAAGUUAGUUGCUGCAGGCGCCACAAGUUUUGUUUGUCUCCGGUUUUGAGUCCCUUUGGUAGGAAAGUCCAUUGAUUUCCCUUGUGUAUUUUGUCAAUUUCAUGCAUUUCUUGAUUUUCAGAGAAUAAUUGAAUGGCUCGAGUUCAUAGUUGGAGUUGUGA
RNA transcript from Mangifera indica (mango), 1638 nucleotides. It is a transcript of the gene named zinc finger protein CONSTANS-LIKE 9-like, with no coding region annotated. The transcript is spliced from 3 exons. The record is from RefSeq and is a predicted model, not a curated record. NCBI's taxonomy places the organism in Eukaryota, Viridiplantae, Streptophyta, Magnoliopsida, Sapindales, Anacardiaceae.